Molecule: ribosomal RNA, 635 nt
Filed under: Termitomyces sp. DKA-2007
Lineage: Eukaryota; Fungi; Basidiomycota; Agaricomycetes; Agaricales; Lyophyllaceae
Description: eukaryotic LSU rRNA
Rfam family: 5.8S ribosomal RNA (bases 238-391)
Source: RNAcentral
GUCGGGUUGUUGCUGGCUCCUCGGGGCAAUGUGCACGCCUGCCAUCGUUUUCAACCACCUGUGCACCUUUUGUAGACUUUGGAUACCUUUCGGGGGGUCAAACCCUCGGCUUGAAGGGCUGCCGGUGCUCCAAAAGGGCCCGGCUUUCCUUGCAUUUCCGGUCUAUGCAUUUUAUAUACUCCGUAAAGAAUGUAUUAGAAUGUCUUGUUAUUGGCCUCAGCGCCUUUAAUCAAAUACAACUUUCAGCAACGGAUCUCUUGGCUCUCGCAUCGAUGAAGAACGCAGCGAAAUGCGAUAAGUAAUGUGAAUUGCAGAAUUCAGUGAAUCAUCGAAUCUUUGAACGCACCUUGCGCUCCUUGGUAUUCCGAGGAGCAUGCCUGUUUGAGUGUCAUUAAAUUCUCAACCUAACCAGCUUUUUGUGAGCUUGGGAUAGGCUUGGAUUGUGGGGGUUUCUUGCGGGCUUCGUCCAGAAGUCAGCUCCCCUUAAAUGCAUUAGUGGAACCUUCUGUUGACCUGUUUCCUGGUGUGAUAAUUAUCUACAUCGUGCGCAGUCAGCUAUCUAACGGGUUUCUGCUUCCAACUCGUUAUCACCCUUCAUUUGGGGGAUGCUUUUGACCAUUUGACCUCAAAUCAGG